AAGUCGUAACAAGGUAACCGUAGGUGAACCUGCGGUUGGAUCAUUAACAAAUUCAAUCAAAAUUGAGGGAAACCUCUUUUUUACACACAAUGUGAACUGUUUAUUGUCUCUGGUGGUUCUUUUGGAUACUUUUUUAGUAUCUAAUCCCACUUUUUUAAAACUUAUUAUUUAUUGGCCUUUAUAUCUUAUAAAAAAGUUAAAUUAAAAAACAACUUUUGGCAACGGAUCUCUAGGCUCUU
This 239-nucleotide unclassified non-coding RNA is filed under the name fungal sp. Its description in RNAcentral is "partial internal transcribed spacer region". The stretch from base 1 to 46 matches the Rfam family "Eukaryotic small subunit ribosomal RNA", at positions 1786 to 1831 of the family's 1831-position model. The record is from RNAcentral. Lineage: Eukaryota; Fungi.